ACUCCUACGGGAGGCAGCAGUGGGGAAUAUUGCACAAUGGGCGCAAGCCUGAUGCAGUCAUGCCGCGUGUGUGAAGAAGGCCUUCGGGUUGUAAAGCACUUUCAGCAGUGAGGAAGGCGGAGUCGUUAAUAGCGGCCUCGUUUGACGUUAGCUGCAGAAGAAGCACCGGCUAACUCCGUGCCAGCAGCCGCGGUAAUACGGAGGGUGCGAGCGUUAAUCGGAAUUACUGGGCGUAAAGCGCAUGCAGGUGGUUUGUUAAGUCAGAUGUGAAAGCCCGGGGCUCAACCUCGGAAUAGCAUUUGAAACUGGCAGACUAGAGUACUGUAGAGGGGGGUAGAAUUUCAGGUGUAGCGGUGAAAUGCGUAGAGAUCUGAAGGAAUACCGGUGGCGAAGGCGGCCCCCUGGACAGAUACUGACACUCAGAUGCGAAAAGCGUGGGGAGCAAACAGGAUUAGAUACCCUGGUA
RNAcentral lists this ribosomal RNA (466 nucleotides) under uncultured bacterium. Its description in RNAcentral is "bacterial SSU rRNA". It matches the Rfam family "Bacterial small subunit ribosomal RNA", at positions 335 to 792 of the family's 1533-position model. The record is from RNAcentral.